This is a long non-coding RNA of Dreissena polymorpha, 1051 nucleotides long. RefSeq lists it as uncharacterized. The record is from RefSeq and is a predicted model, not a curated record. The transcript has 3 exons. NCBI's taxonomy places the organism in Eukaryota, Metazoa, Mollusca, Bivalvia, Myida, Dreissenidae.
GUUAUCGUUAUUGUUUGUGAAACUGCGAGGAUUGCUUAUAUUAUUUAUAAAAUACACCACUCUCUGUAUGAGACGAGUGGUUAAGUACUCGACAUUUAACCCAAAGUUUUGCCAGGGGAGAGGGACCUUUAUGACCCCAACGGUGGACUCGCGGAGAGGGAUCUUUACUAUCUGAACAUAAACAUUUUGGGGCUCUCUUACCCAAGCGACUGCAAAAGGGAGACACUGCGUCAAUACGCCGAGAAAUGUGGGCUGCAGGUCACGGCUGCCGGUAGUCAUUACGUCGUCAAGGACGGUAAGAAGACACUCACGAUCAUCCCCCACUCGGUGAAGAAUGAUCAAACCUGCAGAAUCAUUAUUGAAAUCCUUACCAAUCGUUGUGAGGGUUAUUCCUACGGCUUUUUCUACGAGCAAGAAUAUAAUUACACAAGAAACCAAUAAAAAUGAUGGACACACAUUCUACCACGAUAAAGCAUAUUCGACAACGAUGGAGCAUAUUCUACUACGAUAGAGCAUAUUCUACUACAAUAGAGCAAAUUCUAAUACGAUACAGGAUUUUUGAUUACGAUAGAGCAUAUUUUACUACGAUAGAGGAUAUUCUACUACGAUAGAACAUAUUCUACAACUAUAGAGCAUAUUCUACAACGAUAGAGCAUAUUCUACUAUGAUAGAGCAUAUUCUACAACGAUAGAGCAUAUUCUACUACGAUAGAGCAUAUUCUACAACGAUAGAGCAUAUUCUACUACGAUAUAGCAUAUUCUACAACGAUAAAGCAUCUUCUACUACGAUAGAGAUAGUAAAACAAUCAUAUAACACCAUUGUAGUAAGCAUUUAUUCCGCAAAAUGAAAUAUAUGGUACACGGACUUUUUGACAAUAUAUGUCCGAAAAUCCUUAGACCGAUUACCCGUUUGUUAUCCAAUGAAAUAUAAUUACUUACACUGUUUGUUCAGUUAUCCAAAACAAGUUACAAAGCGUUUCAAAUGAAAAAAUAAAACUGUUUUCAAGUGAGUGUAUGUAUGUAUUCGUUAUAUACUUAAAUGUCGCCAAUUA